CUGGGAAUUGCACUCAAAACUGUACGGCUAGAGUGUGGGAGAGGAAGGUAGAAUUCCAGGUGUAGCGGUGAAAUGCGUAGAUAUCUGGAGGAAUACCGAUGGCGAAGGCAGCCUUCUGGCCUAACACUGACGCUGAGGUGCGAAAGCAUGGGGAGCAAACAGGAUUAGAUACCCUGGUAGUCCAUGCCGUAAACGAUGUCUACUAGCCGUUGGGGGACUUGAUCCUUUAGUGGCGCAGCUAACGCAUUAAGUAGACCGCCUGGGGAGUACGGUCGCAAGACUAAAACUCAAAUGAAUUGACGGGGGCCCGCACAAGCGGUGGAGCAUGUGGUUUAAUUCGAUGCAACGCGAAGAACCUUACCUGGCCUUGACAUGUCCGGAAUCCUGCA
This 389-nucleotide ribosomal RNA is filed under the name uncultured bacterium. RNAcentral's name for it is "bacterial SSU rRNA". It matches the Rfam family "Bacterial small subunit ribosomal RNA", at positions 614 to 1002 of the family's 1533-position model. The record is from RNAcentral.